CUUGCUUUUCUGAUGACGAGUGGCGCACGGGUGCGUAACGCGUAUACAAUCUGCCUUCAAGCGGGGGAUAGCCCAUGGAAACGUGGAUUAAUACCCCAUAGUAUAUAGAGAUCACCUGGUCUCUAUAUUAAACAUUUAUGGCUUGAAGAUGAGUAUGCGUCCUAUUAGUUAGUUGGUAAGGUAACGGCUUACCAAGACCGCGAUAGGUAGGGGUCCUGAGAGGGAGAUCCCCCACACUGGUACUGAGACACGGACCAGACUCCUACGGGAGGCAGCAGUGAGGAAUAUUGGACAAUGGAGGCAACUCUGAUCCAGCCAUGCCGCGUGCAGGAAGACUGCCCUAUGGG
RNAcentral lists this ribosomal RNA (347 nucleotides) under marine sediment bacterium BB0608_AND_4.1_3S0. RNAcentral's name for it is "bacterial SSU rRNA". It matches the Rfam family "Bacterial small subunit ribosomal RNA", at positions 79 to 422 of the family's 1533-position model. The record is from RNAcentral.